UGGGUUGUGGCUCAGUGGUAAAGUGCUCACCUAGCACAUGCAAGGCCCUGAGUUCAAUCCUCAGCACCACAU
This 72-nucleotide transfer RNA is filed under the name Marmota monax (woodchuck). Its description in RNAcentral is "tRNA.Ala". The record is from RNAcentral. Lineage: Eukaryota; Metazoa; Chordata; Mammalia; Rodentia; Sciuridae.